RNAcentral lists this ribosomal RNA (503 nucleotides) under uncultured Oscillospiraceae bacterium. RNAcentral's name for it is "bacterial SSU rRNA". It matches the Rfam family "Bacterial small subunit ribosomal RNA", at positions 28 to 531 of the family's 1533-position model. Lineage: Bacteria; Bacillati; Bacillota; Clostridia; Eubacteriales; Oscillospiraceae. The record is from RNAcentral.
GACGAACGCUGGUGGCGCGCCUAACACAUGCAAGUCGAGCGGAGUUUAUCGACGGAACACUUCGGUGGGAAGAUGAUAAUACUUAGCGGCGGACGGGUGAGUAACACGUGAGCAACCUACCCUGGAGUGGGGAAUAACACUUGGAAACAGGUGCUAAUACCGCAUGAAGUAUAGAAUAGGCAUCUAUUCUAUACCAAAGAUUUAUCGCUCUGGGAUGGGCUCGCGCCUGAUUAGAUAGUUGGUGGGGUAAAGGCCUACCAAGUCGACGAUCAGUAGCCGGACUGAGAGGUUGAUCGGCCACAUUGGGACUGAGACACGGCCCAGACUCCUACGGGAGGCAGCAGUGGGGGAUAUUGCACAAUGGGGGAAACCCUGAUGCAGCGACGCCGCGUGAACGAUGACGGUCUUCGGAUUGUAAAGUUCUGUCAACGGGGACGAUAAUGACGGUACCCGUGGAGGAAGCCACGGCUAACUACGUGCCAGCCGCCGCCGUAACACCUAAG